GGGAUUGCCCUAGUAACGGCGAGUGAAGCGGCAACAGCUCAAAUUUGAAAUCUGGCUCUUUUAGAGUCCGAGUUGUAAUUUGCAGAGAGCGCUUUGGCGUUGGCAGCGGUCCAAGUUCCUUGGAACAGGACGUCACAGAGGGUGAGAAUCCCGUACGUGGUCGCUAACCUUCGCCGUGUAAAGCCUCUUCGACGAGUCGAGUUGUUUGGGAAUGCAGCUCUAAAUGGGAGGUAAAUUUCUUCUAAAGCUAAAUACUGGCCAGAGACCGAUAGCGCACAAGUAGAGUGAUCGAAAGAUGAAAAGCACUUUGGAAAGAGAGUCAAACAGCACGUGAAAUUGUUGAAAGGGAAGCGCUUGCAGCCAGACUUGCCCGCAGUUGCUCAUCCGAACUUUUGUUCGGUGCACUCUUCUGCGGGCAGGCCAGCAUCAGUUUGGGCGGUUGGAUAAAGGUCUCUGUCAUGUACCUCCUCUCGGGGAGGCCUUAUAGGGGAGACGACAUGCAACCAGCCUGGACUGAGGUCCGCGCAUCUGCUAGGAUGCUGGCGUAAUGGCUGUAAGCGGCCCGUCUUGAAACACGGACCAAGGAGUCUAACAUCUAUGCGAGUGUUUGGGUGUCAAGCCCGAGCGCGUAAUGAAAGUGAACGGAGGUGGGAACCCUUAAGGGUGCACCAUCGACCGAUCCUGAUGUCUUCGGAUGGAUUUGAGUAAGAGCAUGGCUGUUGGGACCCGAAAGAUGGUGAACUAUGCUUGAAUAGGGUGAAGCCAGAGGAAACUCUGGUGGAGGCUCGCAGCGGUUCUGACGUGCAAAUCGAUCGUCAAAUUUGGGCAUAGGGGCGAAAGACUAAUCG
RNAcentral lists this ribosomal RNA (848 nucleotides) under Coniothyrium glycines. RNAcentral describes it as "partial large subunit ribosomal RNA". It matches the Rfam family "Eukaryotic large subunit ribosomal RNA", at positions 71 to 937 of the family's 3401-position model. The record is from RNAcentral. Lineage: Eukaryota; Fungi; Ascomycota; Dothideomycetes; Pleosporales; Coniothyriaceae.